This 335-nucleotide long non-coding RNA is filed under the name Salmo salar (Atlantic salmon). RNAcentral's name for it is "lncRNA (ENSSSAG00000112803.1)". Lineage: Eukaryota; Metazoa; Chordata; Actinopteri; Salmoniformes; Salmonidae. The record is from RNAcentral.
CAAAAACCUAGGAAGAAACCUAGAGAGGAACCAGGCUAUGAGGGGUGGCCAGUCCUCUUCUGGCUGUGCCGGGUGGAUAUUAUAACAGAACAUGGUCAAGAUGUUAAAAUGUUCAUAAAUGACCAGCAUGGUCAAAUAAUAAUAAUCAUAGUAGUUGUCGAGGGUGCAACAAGCACGUCCGGUGAACAGGUCAGGGUUCCAUAGCCGCAGGCAGAACAGUUGAAACUGGAGCAGCAGCACGGCCAAGUGGACUGGGGACAGCAAGGAGUCAUCAUACCAGGUAGUCCUGAGGCAUGGUCCUAGGGCUCAGGUCCUCCGAGAGAAAGACAGAAAGA